This 251-nucleotide ribosomal RNA is filed under the name uncultured prokaryote. Its description in RNAcentral is "partial 16S rRNA". It matches the Rfam family "Bacterial small subunit ribosomal RNA", at positions 525 to 775 of the family's 1533-position model. The record is from RNAcentral.
ACGUAUGGGGCAAGCGUUGUUCGGAAUUAUUGGGCGUAAAGGGCGUCUAGGCGGGGGAUUAAGUUAGAUGUGAAAGCUAUGGGCUCAACCCAUAAACUGCAUCUAAGACUGGUUCUCUUGAGUCCGGGAGGGGAAGGCGGAAUUCCAGGUGUAGCGGUGAAAUGCGUAGAUAUCUGGAGGAACACCGAAGGCGAAGGCGGCUUUCUGGGCUAGGACUGACGCUGAAGCGCGAAAGCGUGGGGAGCGAACAG